UACGUAGGGGGCAAGCGUUGUCCGGAAUUAUUGGGCGUAAAGCGCGUGUAGGCGGCUCGGUAAGUCUGCUGUGAAAGUCCAGGGCUCAACCCUGGAACGCCGGUGGAUACUGUCGAGCUCGAGUCCGGAAGAGGCGAGUGGAAUUCCUGGUGUAGCGGUGAAAUGCGCAGAUAUCAGGAGGAACACCAGUAGCGAAGGCGGCACUCUGGGCCGGUACUGACGCUGAGGAGCGAAAGCGUGGGGAGCGAACAGG
Molecule: ribosomal RNA, 253 nt
Filed under: uncultured bacterium
Lineage: Bacteria
Description: partial 16S ribosomal RNA
Rfam family: Bacterial small subunit ribosomal RNA
Source: RNAcentral